GGUGAUUUGUUUAUGUAUGAGAAGAAGCCAACACUAGAAAGGUCAGGACAAAAAGGAAAAUAUAUCACAAUGCAAAACACAAACUUACAGCAGAGUGCCAUCACAAAAUUUCAAGAAACAAGGUUGUUUUCAACCAACUUCAUCAAUACUAUCCCUGACAUCUCUGACAGGGGGAGAAAGUAGCUUGAAUGCUGCACAGAAUCACUGAUAGCAAUGAUUAACAAUUGGAUGUUUGGUAAAUCCUGCUGUUCCAACACGAUUCAGAAUAGCCAGGUUAUCACAUUUUGUAAAUAGUGUUUUUCAAUCUUAAUAACUAAGGCUGCACAAACCACAACAGAUCAAAAAGCUUUUACAGACUGAACAAUGUUAAGUUAAGGAUCUUUCUUCCUUCUUAAGCAAGUUAGAUAACAGCCAUGCCAAGAUGAGACUCGUUAAAGCGAACCUCCCCUUACAAUGCAGACUGGUUUUACCUAUAUUAGAUAACAUUGGUAUUUAGUAACUAUUUGCCUGCGAACUGAAAGAAAGCUCUAGUGUCUCUCAAUGAAGACUUUCGAUAGUGACUUACGUUAACUUUCGCUAACCUUAUUAACCUUAUUUCAGAGGCUUAUUGGCUAACCUUAACAACUAAAAUCGAUAAAGCUUCCUCGAAGCACUUCUUGUGCGUCUUGUACUUAAUUUAAUUAACUUUAAAAGCUAACGGUAACGUUACCAACGCAGGCCACCACAUUUAACGUUAAUAAAUGGGAUUAUAACAAAACAAGCGCUGACUUCAUUGAAGUUCCGCCUAUUUCGCAGUCAGGGAGACAAACAUUGAAAAUGCACAUGUCUGCCUGUGCUGCAGGAGCUGAUGUGUCACGUGAUGAUGUUCAGGAAGGACUCUGUGCUCAACAUCCUCAGUGAGACACUCUCAGAUGACACCUGUCCUCACGUCUUCCACCUGUGUCCACCUGUCCUCACGGCGUCUUCUUCUUCAUGUGUCCACCUGUCCUCGCGGCGUCUUCUUCUUCAUGUGUCCACCUGUCCUCGCAUCUUCUUCAUGUGUCCACAGUUUAGUCUCUAGACUGGGAGAGCAGUCCUGCCCCCAUCCUGCAGCACAUUAAAUAUAAAGAACACCCGGUGGCCUUGUCCUGUCUGCUGCUGCUGCUCCAGAGAGAAGUACGACAGGAACACACCUGGACACUCGUCUCCUGGGUCCCUGUUAACAUCUCUGUCUGUGUUCCAGGCCCAGUGAGGAGAUGGCGAAGAUGGUCCUGAGUCGUCUCUGUCACCCUGAGGGCCAGUUCACCACCAGCAUCCUGAAACACUGGGCGUCCAAUCACGAGAACACGCUGAGAGAACACAUCAGAUUUUAUUCAGCUCAAGAUUCAAGUUAUUACCACUUAACACCAAAAAAUCUCAUUAAGAAUCUGGAAAUAGAGAAUGUUCAACAUUAUUGCAAAAAAGAAUGAAAACAAAUUGAUUAUCAAAAUUGUUGCUGGUUAAUUAUGUGAUCAAGCAGUCAAUUCCUUUGUCGAUUCAGCUUAAUGCAAGAUGUGCCUAAUUUUUGCCUAAUGUAGAAAUGAAGAUGAUGUUUAAGGUUUUGAUACUAAUAAAGAGAACUUGAAUUGUAA
Molecule: long non-coding RNA, 1610 nt
Organism: Micropterus salmoides (largemouth bass)
Lineage: Eukaryota; Metazoa; Chordata; Actinopteri; Centrarchiformes; Centrarchidae
Exons: 3
Source: RefSeq, a predicted model, not a curated record